ACGAGACAAAGCCAACACAUAUGUUGUCACUCCCCACGACUAGUUUAAAAUGUUUCCAUACCUCCGAUUUUCCUCCAAACUUGCUCAAAGUUAAUUCUCCUGUUUUAAUUUUUUUUUCUUUGAUUCUUCAAGCUCCAUGUGGCACUUAAGCUACUGAAUAGUACAGCACGCACAGCAGGUGUGAUGCGUCACGCGUGCGAGACUGCGAAUGCGAGUGGACGAGACGCUGCGCAUGACACGUGAUGUGCUUUAUCAAGGGCCCGACCCGACCCGGCCCGAGGACGGUUGCGGGAAAUAUCGGCCCGACCCGGCCCGCGGGUCGGGUCGGGUCGAGUCCGGGCUCGGGCUCGGGCAGAGAAUCUAAGCUCUACUAGGGUUACAUACGUAACCUAGAGACGUUUUUGGAUGUUUAUUAUAAAGAAAAUGCUGUUCGAUGUGUCUUUAAGCUGUCACAGAUCAAGCCGGAGACAACAGGUAGUAGGCUAAAGGUAAGUAGGUUUAUUGACAGGAACUGCAGAGAAUGAAUGACUGAAGUAAUGAAUGGUGAGUAUCCGACUUGAUAGACAGUUCUGUAAAUUUUAGUUUGGUAGUAGAUGGUUUUCCUCUUAUAGGUUGGUAGAGAGUAUGGGAACCAUGAACAGAGGAGAUCAACGGAGGAACCUCGGGAAUCUAAAGAUAAAAAAGGAACUGAAACAUAGACGUUUCAUUCUGUUCUUGACACAUGAUGGAUCUGCGUGUCUCUGUUGUUCUUCUGUUAAUUUUUCUCACUGGAGGAUACUCUCUCAAGUGUUACGUGUGCAAUACUUUGCUGACGGAUUACUGUGAAGCAAAAGUGGAGUUAUGUCGCGAUGGAUUCUCCAAAUGUCAAAGCCAAGCAACGGAAAUAUCCAUGGGUUUCGCUGAGAUAUUAAGCAUAACUAGAAAUUGUGCUUCUACAUGUGAAGCUGGGACCGAACAUUCCUGGGCUGGAGAGACAGUAACCCAGUGCUGUGACACUGACCUUUGCAAUGCAGCAGAUGGCCUGUAUAAGACAAGCUUCCUCCUGCUGUUGUCUCCUCUGCUCUUCUACUUCCUGUUUCACUGAUUCCAGCAGCAGUUCAGAUUCUACAGCAGCAGCAGAAACUGAACGUCACACACAUUUCUAUUCUUGAAUAAACAAAUAAAGCUUGUCAAUCAUUAAAAUGUGGUUUUGUUUGUUCAGCUAUAGGUUAACUAAUCCAGUGCUUCCCAAACCUGUCCUGGAGGCCCCCCUGCCCUGCACCUUUUAUAUGUAUCCCUUAUCUAACACACCUGAUUCCACU
Cyprinus carpio carpio is the source of this 1301-nucleotide long non-coding RNA. The record is from Ensembl. Lineage: Eukaryota; Metazoa; Chordata; Actinopteri; Cypriniformes; Cyprinidae.